CAUCCUCCAAGGCUAAAUACUCCUGACUGACCGAUAGUGAACCAGUACCGUGAGGGAAAGGCGAAAAGAACCCCGGCGAGGGGAGUGAAAAAGAACCUGAAACCGUGUACGUACAAGCAGUGGGAGCACCCUUCGGGGUGUGACUGCGUACCUUUUGUAUAAUGGGUCAGCGACUUAUAUUCUGUAGCAAGGUUAACCGAAUAGGGGAGCCGGAGGGAAACCGAGUCUUAAUUGGGCGUUAAGUUGCAGGGUAUAGACCCGAAACCCGGUGAUCUAGCCAUGGGCAGGUUGAAGGUUGGGUAACACUAACUGGAGGACCGAACCGACUAAUGUUGAAAAAUUAGCGGAUGACCUGUGGCUGGGGGUGAAAGGCCAAUCAAACCGGGAGAUAGCUGGUUCUCCCCGAAAGCUAUUUAGGUAGCGCCUCGUGAAUUCAUCUCCGGGGGUAGAGCACUGUUUCGGCUAGGGGGCCAUCCCGGCUUACCAACCCGAUGCAAACUGCGAAUACCGGAGAAUGUUAUCACGGGAGACACACGGCGGGUGCUAACGUCCGUCGUGAAGAGGGAAACAACCCAGACCGCCAGCUAAGGUCCCAAAGUCAUGGUUAAGUGGGAAACGAUGUGGGAAGGCCCAGACAGCCAGGAUGUUGGCUUAGAAGCAGCCAUCAUUUAAAGAAAGCGUAAUAGCUCACUGGUCGAGUCGGCCUGCGCGGAAGAUGUAACGGGGCUAAACCAUGCACCGAAGCUGCGGCAGCGAACGUAUCACCCAAGACAACUUUACGGAGUUGACGAUUGACGGAGCGAAGCGACGUCAAAGCGUUCAUUAAAGUCGAGUUGGCUUAGGGAUACGUUCGUUGGGUAGGGGAGCGUUCUGUAAGCCUGUGAAGGUGUGUCGUGAGGCAUGCUGGAGGUAUCAGAAGUGCGAAUGCUGACAUAAGUAACGAUAAAGCGGGUGAAAAGCCCGCUCGCCGGAAGACCAAGGGUUCCUGUCCAACGUUAAUCGGGGCAGGGUGAGUCGACCCCUAAGGCGAGGCCGAAAGGCGUAGUCGAUGGGAAACGGGUUAAUAUUCCCGUACUUGGUGUUACUGCGAAGGGGGGACGGAGAAGGCUAUGUUGGCCGGGCGACGGUUGUCCCGGUUUAAGCGUGUAGGUGUGUGUUCCAGGUAAAUCCGGUUCACUUUAACACUGAGGCGUGACGACGAGGCACUACGGUGCUGAAGCAACAAAUGCCCUGCUUCCAGGAAAAGCCUCUAAGCAUCAGGUAACA
Molecule: ribosomal RNA, 1266 nt
Filed under: Salmonella enterica subsp. enterica serovar Typhimurium
Lineage: Bacteria; Pseudomonadati; Pseudomonadota; Gammaproteobacteria; Enterobacterales; Enterobacteriaceae
Description: partial 23S ribosomal RNA
Rfam family: Bacterial large subunit ribosomal RNA
Source: RNAcentral